Non-coding RNA from Leptonychotes weddellii (Weddell seal), 1329 nucleotides. The record is from RefSeq and is a predicted model, not a curated record. Lineage: Eukaryota; Metazoa; Chordata; Mammalia; Carnivora; Phocidae.
GCAGUAAGAAAUCACCUCCAAAUCUCAGUGGCUAAACACAGUUUCUUUCCCGUGCUGUGUGCCCGGCGUGGUCAGCAGGUAGGCCCUGCUUGUCGCAGUCACCCGAAGACCCAAACUGAUGGAGGUGUGAUCUUGAGUGUGCAGCAUUGGAAUGGGAACUAGAGGAUCUUGCUGUAUUAAUGACAUGAUUGGGCCCAGAAGUGACUUACAUUGCUUUGGCCAGAAAGUGCUAGGACCCCAUUGAAACCACAAUUCAGUAUUUCUUGUCCUGAAAAAGGGGGAAAUGGAUAGAGCAUGCCCAUUACCUAGGGAUUCUGGGCACAUAUAAAUGAUCUGCUUGGGACUGGCAAACAAGAACUGGUGAUAAAUGGACAGUGAGCAAACCGUCUGAAACAUUAGUCAAAAGGAUUCUUCCCUUCCAGAAAUGCUUGGUUAAGCAGGAGAGUACUCACAACAGAAGUGGGAACCAUGAACUGGGAGACAGAUUCAAGGAAUGAUCUAGAAGACAGCACAGGAAACAGAUUGAAAAUAACUGAAGAAGUUAAGAUGGCACGGAAGCUCGAGGAGGACGUUCUAAUUACAUCUCGUUUGAGUUCCAGAAAGGGAAGUGGGAAAAAAAAGGACAGAGGAAAUGCAUGAAAAGAUUAUGCCUGAGAAUUUUCCAUGGCGGCCCACUUUCAAGAGAGAAAAAGAGAGAGCCAUGCAAGAAGGAAGCCAAUCUUUUGGUAACCUCAUUGCUGAAGUGAUAACCUACCAAUGUCGUCGUAUUCUCACCAUUAGAAGCAAAUCAUUAAGUUCAGGCCAUUACACAAUUACACAAGUGUGUGAAUGCCAGGAAGUAAGGACUGUUAAAGGCCAUCUUAGAGACUGCCUAUGUGAGAAAUCAAUGACAUGCACAUCAAAACAGAAUAAGAUCCUGCUACACAUAUACUAGAAUGACUAAAUUUUUUAAAAAUGCAACAUCAAUGUUAACAAAAAUAGGGGGCAAUUGGAAUUGCUGGUGGGAUCUAAAAUAGUACACACAUUUUGGAAAACAGUUUGGCAGUUCUUAAAUAGUUAAAUAUACACCUACCAUAUGUCAUUCUGCUCUUAAGUAUUUACCCCAAAGAAAUGAAAACAGGUGUUUGCACAAAGACUUGUACAUGAAUGUCCUUAGCAUAUUUAUAACAGUCAAAACACUCGGUACAACCCAAUGUCCAUCGCAAAGGAAGUGAUAACAAGUUGUGGCAUAUUUAUACAAUUGAACACAACCCAAUAAUAAAAUGGAACUGUUGAUAUAUGUAAUAAUGUGAAUCAAUCUCAAAAUAAUUAUGCUGGACAAAAGAAGUC